UUCUUUGUUCUGACAGCUUUCUCUAUUUGCUAGGUGAUGGGUCUCUUUAUGGAGGUGGAUGCUCGCGACCAUGCUCUCCGGGAGUCAAUGGAUCGCCGGGUCGAGGAGGCACGUUUGGAAGAAAACCUGUCUGCCACCAGUGACGCCCGAAGCAAUCUAGCCGCAGCUCAGGAGCAUUCCAAGUCCUUACAGGCAGAGCUGACAUAUGCCCUGGAUGCUGUCAAAAGGGCGGAUGAGAAGGCAGCUGAAGCAGAUAUUCGUUGUAAAGAAGCCCUGAAACAACUGUCUUCUCUGGAAGAGGUCCAGAGGGAGAGAGAUGAAGUCCGCCAC
Molecule: long non-coding RNA, 330 nt
Filed under: Manihot esculenta (cassava)
Lineage: Eukaryota; Viridiplantae; Streptophyta; Magnoliopsida; Malpighiales; Euphorbiaceae
Description: long non-coding RNA (MESC_LNC010550)
Source: RNAcentral